RNAcentral lists this ribosomal RNA (502 nucleotides) under uncultured bacterium. RNAcentral describes it as "bacterial SSU rRNA". It matches the Rfam family "Bacterial small subunit ribosomal RNA", at positions 28 to 521 of the family's 1533-position model. The record is from RNAcentral.
GACGAACGCUGGCGGCGUGGAUUAGGCAUGCAAGUCGAACGGUAUCAUCCUUUCGGGGGUGAGAGAGUGGCGAACUGGUGAGUAACACGUAGGUUAUCUACCCUCAAGACGGGGACAACCCAGGGAAACUUGGGCUAAUACCGGAUGUGAGCAACUUUUAGUUGUUUGAAAGGUGGCGUAAGCUGUCGCUUGGGGAUGAGCCUGCGUCCUAUUAGUUAGUUGGUGAGGUAACGGCUCACCUAGGCAAUGAUAGGUAGGCGGCCUUAACGGGUGGUCGCCCACACUGGGAUUGAGAUACGGCCCAGACUCCUACGGGAGGCAGCAGUCGAGAAUAGUCUACAAUGGUCGGAAGACUGAUAGUGCGACGCCGCGUGAACGAUGAAUCCCUUCGGGGUGUAAAGUUCUUUUAUAUGUGAGCAGUGCUUUCUUAUAUUAACAGUAUGGGGAGAGAGAUAUUAGCAUAUGAAUAAGCAACGGCUAACUCCGUGCCAGCAGCCGCGGU